GUCAACGUAAUUUUAAGAGUUAAGUGUGAAAGAAUGUCUAUCAUAUUCAUCCUUGCCAUUAGUUUUCCUUCACUCCUGACAUUCCUAGUUUCCUUCCUUCUGUUGUGUCUAAAGUACCUCCUUUAUCAGUUCUUUUAGAUCCAGUCUGCUGGUGACAAACUUUUCCUUCAUCUGAGAAUGUCUUUAUUCACUCUCAUUCCUGAAGAAUAUUUUUACUGAAUGUAUAAUUAUGGGUUGACAGUUUUUUGCUUUCAGUACUUGAAAAAUAUUAUGCCACUUCCUUCUGAGGAGAAAUCUGAUGACAGCUGCUGCUGAGAACCCACUACCGCUCCAGUCACUGUCCCCUGUGGGCUGUGCAUCGCUCUCUCUGUGUGCUUUCAACAGUUUUUGUCUUUAGGCCGGGCGCAGUGGCUCAUAUUCAGCAUAAAAUACCCUAAAAAAAUCUAUGACAAAGGGCAGAUGAU
This 464-nucleotide long non-coding RNA is filed under the name Homo sapiens (human). Its description in RNAcentral is "HSALNT0246419". The record is from RNAcentral. Lineage: Eukaryota; Metazoa; Chordata; Mammalia; Primates; Hominidae.